This 416-nucleotide ribosomal RNA is filed under the name Virgibacillus indicus. RNAcentral's name for it is "bacterial SSU rRNA". It matches the Rfam family "Bacterial small subunit ribosomal RNA", at positions 771 to 1185 of the family's 1533-position model. The record is from RNAcentral. Lineage: Bacteria; Bacillati; Bacillota; Bacilli; Caryophanales; Bacillaceae.
AACAGGAUUAGAUACCCUGGUAGUCCACGCCCUAAACGAUGCGAACUGGAUGUUGGGCUCAAUUGAGAGCUCAGUAUCGAAGCUAACGCGUUAAGUUCGCCGCCUGGGAAGUACGGUCGCAAGACUGAAACUCAAAGGAAUUGACGGGGGCCCGCACAAGCGGUGGAGUAUGUGGUUUAAUUCGAUGCAACGCGAAGAACCUUACCUGGCCUUGACAUGCACGGAAGUUUCCAGAGAUGCGGGAGUGCCUUCGGGAAUCGGAACACAGGUGCUGCAUGGCUGUCGUCAGCUCGUGUCGUGAGAUGUUGGGUUAAGUCCCGCAACGAGCGCAACCCUUGUCCUUAGUUGCCAGCACGUAAUGGUGGGAACUCUAAGGAGACCGCCGGCGACAAGCCGGAGGAAGGUGGGGAUGACGU